UACGUAGGGUGCGAGCGUUGUCCGGAAUUAUUGGGCGUAAAGAGCUUGUAGGCGGUUUGUCGCGUCUGCCGUGAAAAUCCGAGGCUCAACCUCGGACUUGCGGUGGGUACGGGCAGACUAGAGUGUGGUAGGGGAGACUGGAAUUCCUGGUGUAGCGGUGAAAUGCGCAGAUAUCAGGAAGAACACCCGUGGCGAAGGCGGCUCUCUGGGACGGUACUGACGCUGAGACGCCGAAAGCGUGGGGAGCGAACGG
This 253-nucleotide ribosomal RNA is filed under the name uncultured bacterium. RNAcentral describes it as "partial 16S ribosomal RNA". It matches the Rfam family "Bacterial small subunit ribosomal RNA", at positions 524 to 775 of the family's 1533-position model. The record is from RNAcentral.